This 98-nucleotide ribosomal RNA is filed under the name Erinaceus europaeus (western European hedgehog). The record is from RNAcentral. Lineage: Eukaryota; Metazoa; Chordata; Mammalia; Eulipotyphla; Erinaceidae.
GUCUAUGGACAUACCACACUGAAUACACCUGAUCUCAUCUGAUCUCAUAAGUUAGCAGUGAAAACUCUAUUUUAUUCACAACUUUGACCUUGUAAAAG